GCUGUGGCUCAGUGGUAGAGCACUUGCCUAGCAUCUGUGAGGCACUGGGUUCAAUCCCCAGCAUUGCA
This 68-nucleotide transfer RNA is filed under the name Marmota monax (woodchuck). RNAcentral's name for it is "tRNA.Ala". The record is from RNAcentral. Lineage: Eukaryota; Metazoa; Chordata; Mammalia; Rodentia; Sciuridae.